UACAGAGGGUGCAAGCGUUAAUCGGAAUGACUGGGCGUAAAGCGCGCGUAGGUGGUUUGUUAAGUUGGAUGUGAAAGCCCCGGGCUCAACCUGGGAAUGGCAUCCAAAACUGUCAGACUAGAGUAUAGUAGAGGGGGGUAGAAUUUCCGGUGUAGCGGUGAAAUGCGUAGAGAUCGGAAGGAAUACCAGUGGCGAAGGCGGCCCCCUGGACUGAUACUGACACUGAAGUGCGAAAGCGUGGGUAGCAAACAGG
This 253-nucleotide ribosomal RNA is filed under the name uncultured bacterium. RNAcentral's name for it is "partial 16S ribosomal RNA". It matches the Rfam family "Bacterial small subunit ribosomal RNA", at positions 524 to 776 of the family's 1533-position model. The record is from RNAcentral.